GCUGCUGUAGCCCAAUGGCAGGAGGCAAUUGAUUUAGGAUCAAUACAGUGGGGGUUCGAAUCCCUUCAGCAGUA
Molecule: transfer RNA, 74 nt
Filed under: Clostridia bacterium
Lineage: Bacteria; Bacillati; Bacillota; Clostridia
Description: tRNA-Leu
Rfam family: tRNA
About the family: Transfer RNA (tRNA) molecules are approximately 80 nucleotides in length. Their secondary structure includes four short double-helical elements and three loops (D, anti-codon, and T loops).
Source: RNAcentral